GGGUUGUGAGGUUAAGCGACUAAGCGUACACGGUGGAUGCCCUGGCAGUCAGAGGCGAUGAAGGACGUGCUAAUCUGCGAUAAGCGUCGGUGAGGUGAUAUGAACCGUUAUAACCGGCGAUUUCCGAAUGGGGAAACCCAGUGUGUUUCGACACACUAUCAUUAACUGAAUCCAUAGGUUAAUGAGGCGAACCGGGGGAACUGAAACAUCUAAGUACCCCGAGGAAAAGAAAUCAACCGAGAUUCCCCCAGUAGCGGCGAGCGAACGGGGAGGAGCCCAGAGCCUGAAUCAGUGUGUGUGUUAGUGGAAGCGUCUGGAAAGGCGCGCGAUACAGGGUGACAGCCCCGUACACAAAAAUGCACAUAUUGUGAGCUCGAUGAGUAGGGCGGGACACGUGGUAUCCUGUCUGAAUAUGGGGGGACCAUCCUCCAAGGCUAAAUACUCCUGACUGACCGAUAGUGAACCAGUACCGUGAGGGAAAGGCGAAAAGAACCCCGGCGAGGGGAGUGAAAAAGAACCUGAAACCGUGUACGUACAAGCAGUGGGAGCCUCUUUAUGGGGUGACUGCGUACCUUUUGUAUAAUGGGUCAGCGACUUAUAUUCUGUAGCAAGGUUAACCGAAUAGGGGAGCCGAAGGGAAACCGAGUCUUAACUGGGCGUUAAGUUGCAGGGUAUAGACCCGAAACCCGGUGAUCUAGCCAUGGGCAGGUUGAAGGUUGGGUAACACUAACUGGAGGACCGAACCGACUAAUGUUGAAAAAUUAGCGGAUGACUUGUGGCUGGGGGUGAAAGGCCAAUCAAACCGGGAGAUAGCUGGUUCUCCCCGAAAGCUAUUUAGGUAGCGCCUCGUGAAUUCAUCUCCGGGGGUAGAGCACUGUUUCGGCAAGGGGGUCAUCCCGACUUACCAACCCGAUGCAAACUGCGAAUACCGGAGAAUGUUAUCACGGGAGACACACGGCGGGUGCUAACGUCCGUCGUGAAGAGGGAAACAACCCAGACCGCCAGCUAAGGUCCCAAAGUCAUGGUUAAGUGGGAAACGAUGUGGGAAGGCCCAGACAGCCAGGAUGUUGGCUUAGAAGCAGCCAUCAUUUAAAGAAAGCGUAAUAGCUCACUGGUCGAGUCGGCCUGCGCGGAAGAUGUAACGGGGCUAAACCAUGCACCGAAGCUGCGGCAGCGACACUAUGUGUUGUUGGGUAGGGGAGCGUUCUGUAAGCCUGUGAAGGUGGCCUGUGAGGGUUGCUGGAGGUAUCAGAAGUGCGAAUGCUGACAUAAGUAACGAUAAAGCGGGUGAAAAGCCCGCUCGCCGGAAGACCAAGGGUUCCUGUCCAACGUUAAUCGGGGCAGGGUGAGUCGACCCCUAAGGCGAGGCCGAAAGGCGUAGUCGAUGGGAAACAGGUUAAUAUUCCUGUACUUGGUGUUACUGCGAAGGGGGGACGGAGAAGGCUAUGUUGGCCGGGCGACGGUUGUCCCGGUUUAAGCGUGUAGGCUGGUUUUCCAGGCAAAUCCGGAAAACCAAGGCUGAGGCGUGAUGACGAGGCACUACGGUGCUGAAGCGACAAAUGCCCUGCUUCCAGGAAAAGCCUCUAAGCAUCAGGUAACAUCAAAUCGUACCCCAAACCGACACAGGUGGUCAGGUAGAGAAUACCAAGGCGCUUGAGAGAACUCGGGUGAAGGAACUAGGCAAAAUGGUGCCGUAACUUCGGGAGAAGGCACGCUGAUAUGUAGGUGAAGCGACUUGCUCGUGGAGCUGAAAUCAGUCGAAGAUACCAGCUGGCUGCAACUGUUUAUUAAAAACACAGCACUGUGCAAACACGAAAGUGGACGUAUACGGUGUGACGCCUGCCCGGUGCCGGAAGGUUAAUUGAUGGGGUUAGCGGCAACGCGAAGCUCUUGAUCGAAGCCCCGGUAAACGGCGGCCGUAACUAUAACGGUCCUAAGGUAGCGAAAUUCCUUGUCGGGUAAGUUCCGACCUGCACGAAUGGCGUAAUGAUGGCCAGGCUGUCUCCACCCGAGACUCAGUGAAAUUGAACUCGCUGUGAAGAUGCAGUGUACCCGCGGCAAGACGGAAAGACCCCGUGAACCUUUACUAUAGCUUGACACUGAACAUUGAGCCUUGAUGUGUAGGAUAGGUGGGAGGCUUUGAAGUGUGGACGCCAGUCUGCAUGGAGCCGACCUUGAAAUACCACCCUUUAAUGUUUGAUGUUCUAACGUUGGCCCGUAAUCCGGGUUGCGGACAGUGUCUGGUGGGUAGUUUGACUGGGGCGGUCUCCUCCUAAAGAGUAACGGAGGAGCACGAAGGUUGGCUAAUCCUGGUCGGACAUCAGGAGGUUAGUGCAAUGGCAUAAGCCAGCUUGACUGCGAGCGUGACGGCGCGAGCAGGUGCGAAAGCAGGUCAUAGUGAUCCGGUGGUUCUGAAUGGAAGGGCCAUCGCUCAACGGAUAAAAGGUACUCCGGGGAUAACAGGCUGAUACCGCCCAAGAGUUCAUAUCGACGGCGGUGUUUGGCACCUCGAUGUCGGCUCAUCACAUCCUGGGGCUGAAGUAGGUCCCAAGGGUAUGGCUGUUCGCCAUUUAAAGUGGUACGCGAGCUGGGUUUAGAACGUCGUGAGACAGUUCGGUCCCUAUCUGCCGUGGGCGCUGGAGAACUGAGGGGGGCUGCUCCUAGUACGAGAGGACCGGAGUGGACGCAUCACUGGUGUUCGGGUUGUCAUGCCAAUGGCACUGCCCGGUAGCUAAGUGCGGAAGAGAUAAGUGCUGAAAGCAUCUAAGCACGAAACUUGCCCCGAGAUGAGUUCUCCCUGAGACUUAGAGUCUCCUGAAGGAACGUUGAAGACGACGACGUUGAUAGGCCGGGUGUGUAAGCGCAGCGAUGCGUUGAGCUAACCGGUACUAAUGAACCGUGAGGCUUAACCUUACAACGCCGAAG
RNAcentral lists this ribosomal RNA (2925 nucleotides) under Escherichia coli. RNAcentral describes it as "23S ribosomal RNA". It matches the Rfam family "Bacterial large subunit ribosomal RNA". Lineage: Bacteria; Pseudomonadati; Pseudomonadota; Gammaproteobacteria; Enterobacterales; Enterobacteriaceae. The record is from RNAcentral.